RNAcentral lists this ribosomal RNA (253 nucleotides) under uncultured bacterium. Its description in RNAcentral is "partial 16S ribosomal RNA". It matches the Rfam family "Bacterial small subunit ribosomal RNA", at positions 524 to 776 of the family's 1533-position model. The record is from RNAcentral.
UACGUAGGGUGCAAGCGUUAUCCGGAAUUAUUGGGCGUAAAGAGCUCGUAGGCGGUUUGUCGCGUCUGCCGUGAAAGUCCGGGGCUUAACCCCGGAUCUGCGGUGGGUACGGGCAGACUUGAGUGAUGUAGGGGAGACUGGAAUUCCUGGUGUAGCGGUGAAAUGCGCAGAUAUCAGGAGGAACACCGAUGGCGAAGGCAGGUCUCUGGGCAUUAACUGACGCUGAGGAGCGAAAGCAUGGGGAGCGAACAGG